CUUUCCCCAAUAUGCCGCCUUCUUGGGAUCAAAACUUGCCGCCUUAUCCUUCAACUCAAGAAGGCUCUCAUCAGGAGUAAUUGCCACCUUAGGUUUCUUAACCACCGCUUCCUCACUUUUCCCCAGCUGGGCAUCCUUAAUCUUGCUCGAAUCGUCAUUUUUCAUAUCUUUUUCCAGCUGGGCUUCUUUAAUUUGAGCUGAAUCAGGUUCUUUGACUGAAAUCGGAGCAGAAUUUUGAGAAGUGAUGAUGGGGGUGGGGGUUUUGCGUUUCUUGGGAGAUGUUUUUGUUGUUUCUGCUCGGACUUUUUCUUGCUAGCAUUGGACAUGAGGAGGUCGAAGGCAGAAGGGCGAGAAGCCAUUGCUGCUAGUGAUCCUGGAUUAACUAAUGGAAUCGAGAGAAAGAAGGAUCUCUGAGAGAAGGGUUUUGCGGGAAGGAAGAAUAGAUGAGAAAGUAGGGCUUAAAGCCGAGUGGUUUUCUGAGGGGAAACGAAAGAGUGUGGUGGUAAAGUGGAGUGAAGAAGAGCAUGACCUGAAUGCGGUGAGCAACAGCUGCCGUUUUUCUGCUACGGAGAGGGAGACAACUGACACGGGUUGCUGUUGCGGAUGCGGAUGGCUAGGAGGGAAGAGGAAGGCAAAUGGCAGGAAAGGAAAUUGAGGGUUUUGUGCACUUAGGAUUGAAAAUUGCCAGAAAAGCCUUUGGAAAAAAAUUGCUGGGGAAGCCUUUUUUGUGUUUGGGCGAUGAGUUGUUAGCAAAAUCUUGAGAGAGGGACUAAAAUUUUCAUUUCGUAAGCUAGCAAUAGGUGACUUGAAAUUUGUGAUUUGAAGGUUUGAGGUGUACCCCCCAAAAAAAUAAUAACAAAGUCGUAAGCUAGCAAUAGGCAGACUAGUGAGUUAGUGGUUUAUUAGUGGUUUAUUAUACGUUUUCUUUCACUAUGUUCACACUCUGAAGUCUGAAUUAUUCCAACCCAAUUGAUGAAAAAUGUUUUAAAAAUGUUUAGGACAAGUGCAAUAUCCACAUAGUUUAUUUUUGUGAUAUGUCGCAUCGUGGAGUGGAAACGGCAUGCAUAUAUGCUUGGGCUCGUGAGUUAUCAAGUAAUUUAGAUUAAUCAUAUUUUGUACCAUAAUUUGGAUCAAAAGUUAAUUAGGCCAACCCGUGGAUCAAAAGCGUUACAAUUUUGACUUAUUUUAUUGAUUCAAGUUUGUUCAAAAACUUUUUUUGGUAAAAAAUUUAUGCGACAUGGAAACAUAAUUUGGUGAAUUCACAAAACCAUGUAUAUUGCACAUGCCAAAAUCAGCUCGAAAGUGGAUUGUCCAACCCAAUUGUAAUGAUACAAGUUUUAAAAGAUUAGCAAAGAUGCAUACGAAGUAAAAAAAGGUGAUUAGCAAAUGUGUUUACGAAAAAAAAAUUUAAAAGAAAACAGUUUUCCAAAAUUUUAACUCUCGCACCCAUUCCUACACUUUUCUACUCCCAACUGUCAAGUUCAGAAUUCGAACUUUGAACUCGACGACGUUGGUCAUUGGACCAAUCCCAAUGCUUAAUUUUACCAAACUUGCAAAACAAGAAAUAAGAAUAAAGACCGACCAAAACGUCUAUAAGUAUACUGAUCAUCACAAAUAAUAUAAAAUCUGUUUUGACUUGCCAAACUUAGGUUAUUUGCAUGAGUUUCUUCAUUGUUUUUUAAUUUUAAUAAUAAUUGAUAUCCCUCUUCUGAAGUCUCUCCACAGUCUCCACACACGGGGUUGAUGGAACAGUUUUUGAAUGAGAGCCAUUCAAGUCAUGUUGUUGAUUGGAGUUCCAGAAAAAAAAAACUCCAAAUUCCGUCUGCAACUGGCUGGGGUACGCUGGUACGAACAAAAAAUCUAUAAUAAGAUAAACAAUGGAAUGUAGUUGUAAUGAUGAACCCCUACCUAAACCUAAAUAAACGGAAUAAUUAAUACACCACCAAAUCAAUAAUUGUAUCAUAUUCUACAUGUUCUUUCCUUCUCGAACUAGCUUGCAACUGGUUUUGAUACGUCAGGUUUCUUUACAGGGACUAGACUACAACUACUUGUAUGGAGGAAGAAACUCCAAGUUCCUGAGUCCACGAAUUUCGGAUCCCACCAGUGAUUUUUGUGUUGUUGGUCAUGAUUAGUUUCUUCUUAUCUUCUCCCAGUGCAGGACGGUUGGUCAACUGAACAUGCAAGUUGAUAAUUGCUCAAUUCUUCAAUGAUAAUAAUGUUGAUGAAAAACUCACAAAUUAUGCAGAACGAUCUGGAGCAGAAGGGCCUGCAUUGAUUGCUUAUCAUGAGAAUCCACUUCACUUGGGCAGAGAGCUAGGGGGUGAGCAUGAGAAAUGGCAGCUACCCGUUUGGAUUGCAUUUUUCGUCAUUUUUCAUGAAAAAAUUACUGUAGCGAUUUGAUGUACGUAAGGAAAAAAGAUAAUAGAAAAAUGUGUUCACGAAAAACGACGCAAUUUUCUGGUAAAAAAUGGCAAUCCAAACACACUGGCUUCAACUACUUGGUCCACUAAUAUUGCUGCUGCAUAUGGAGGUUGAGAAACAGGGAUGGUGUUGGUUUGUGGGUCCCCCUUAGACUGACUUUAGGGUCCGUUCUUUCGUUGACUCAUGAGUGUUUCUAAUCUAACUGUGUGUGUUCUUCUUCUGUCUAUAGAAAAAAGAAAGUGUAGUAAACUUUUUUCAUUCUUAUUACUCCUCCGUCCCACUUUGAUAGUCUGUUUUUUUUCACACAAUUUAAGGAAAAAUAGUUAAUUUUGUUGAAAAAGUAAAUUUAGAUUGCCAUUUUUCUAAAAUAUCCUUACAUUAAAUAUGGUACAACUUUAUGGGAACUUAGAAUUGAUGGUAAAAAAAGAAUAAACUCUUAUUAAAUGGAGUAGAUUUAUAGUAACAACUACUUACAUUGAAUAAGGGUAUAUUAGAAAAAUUAAAAUACAACUACAUUCUUCAAUUGAAAAGUGGACUACAAUUUGGGAUAGAUGAAAAAGGAAUACAGGACUAUCAAAGUGGGACGGAGGGAGUAUGAUACUUUUAUUAUAGUUCAUAAGCCCAAAAAAAAAAGAAAGAAAGUGUAGUAACAUUUGAUUCGUAGUCAUUAUAUAUAUUAUUAAAAUGCAUGCAUAUACAUUUAUAAUAUUUUUUUAAUUUAAUUUCACACUUUCAAAAAAAGUACUACUGUAUGAAAUCAUUUUGGCAGUGUCCACUAGAUAGCAUUAGACAAUUAAGACAUAAUAGGGAUUGCAAUAAUGUUUUUAAAAAAAAAAUUCCAAUCAGUAACCGACACACUACUCAUUUUCCAACAUAGAACUACUGAAUUCAUGGCCACAGAAAAGGGAUUAAAUUUCUCUUUUAACUAUAAAUUGAGGGUUCGAACUUCACUUAUAAUAAAAAAAUAAUUUAAAGGAGAUAUUAAAGUAUUCUUUUGAUUUAAUCAGAUUUUUAUAUAGAGUCUUUUUAGACUUUUUUCCUUUAAAUUAAGACAGAUUAAAUUAUAAAAAUAUUUAUCGAUGUUAUAAAAUAAAUAAGUAUACCAUAGCUUUCUAGUCAAAACAGGAAAAAGCUGAUAUGAUGAGUGAUGACCCUAGUCGCAGAUCCCAAAACACUGUCCACCUGAAUAUGCAUAUAAUUUUGGCUGGCUACACGAACGUGCAGGUUGUAAGACGGGGGAAGGAUGGUUAGGCAAGCUUGUUUUUUGGGUAAGAGAGGAGUUCUUGGUUAGACGAGUGAGAGCGUACGUGACUGUGCACUUUUUUUUUUUUUUUGGGAUAGAGCUCUAUUGGCAAAAAAAAUCUUUAAUAGCACCGCAAAUAUGUUUUUGUAUUACUUUUUAAUAUUUUUUUAUUUCAUAUACAUUACAUUAUAAAAAAUCUUAUGCUAUUUUUUAAAAAUAUUAUUCCAAAUAAUAUUCUAUCCAAAUACACUAGACUAUUUUAUUUGCAUCAUAUUCAAUCACCUUUUAAUUAUUUUACAUGCAUCGUAUCAUAUAGAAUGUGCUGUAAUGUUAACCUAAAUAAUUUUUCAAGUAAUCUUCCAUCCCAUUUAAGAAUAUUUAAAUGUACAAUUUAUAUUCCAAUUACAUCACUGCAAUGUACUAAAAUGAACCCCUCCCCCCUCCCCCCAAAAAAAAGAAUAAAAGGGAGGAUGAAAUGCUUUAUAUUCCAAUUACAAAUCACCUUCUGCAAUUAAUCACUUUAAGAAAAAUCUCAAACACUUCCCCUCCUCUUUUGCUUCAAAAGGGAGGAUGAAAUGCUUUAGUCUUCUCAUAAAAUUCAAAUGUUAAUUGCUUUCACCUAUUAAGCCAAGUGCCCCCAAUCUUGUUUAUACUUCUUGAACACCAAAUUCCACAGGACUAGUACUCGAUUAGUUAUAAACCCUUGUCAAGAUUCCAGUUUCUGAAUGCAACUUACUUCUGGAAAACCGAAUUCCACAUGACUGGGAACUCAAUUAGUUAUACACCCUCGUCAAGAUUCAAGCCGAUUGCAGAUGUCCUGCCAUAGAAUGGGAAACAGUGAAGAAAACAAAGAAAGGAUUCAUUUACUUUUCAUACCUCUCAUUGGUUGGGACAAAAAGUAAUAUUAGUCCAUCAUUAUACUAGUCCAAUACCUCAUCGAGACAAGAAAACGCGUUAUAUCAUUUCUUGGGUCAUCCACGUGUUUUUACUUUUCCUUUUUUUUUUAUGCUUUUGCUUUUGGGUACAUAUACAUCAUGAUUUUUAGAUUUUUGGCAAAAAAAAAAACAUUUUUGAAUAGUCAUUACAUUUUAUAUUGAAAUAUGCUCAUAUAGAGACAGAAAUGUCCAUUAUAUAUAAACUUAUAAAAUCACACAAGUCAAUAUGCACAAUUAAUAAUUCUCUAUUCUCAAUAAGUUCUAAACUGUUGAUUUAACUUUUUUAUUUAGACAAAAAAAGUCGAUCGGGGCGAUUAUUAAGUAUAUCUAGUAGUUGAAUCCAAAAAUCUACUUGGACACACGAGAAUUCCACUUGAUUUUAUUUAACGUGUCAAGUGGACUCCACUUAACAUGUAAAUAUGCAAAUGGAAUCCUUAUAUAUCCACAAGAAGCUUCACUGUUGAUCUUGGACUAACUACUAGUAGUUGUUUCGAGAACCGACAUACAAUUUCUAGUUUAGUUUAGUUUUUGGAGUAUAAUUAACAUUUCUUUAAGAAUAAUGUAGCACAGAGUAACACCAUACAAGAAAUAGUAGUAUUUUCUCGUGAAUAUGAUGUAUUUAGUGGAGUUCUUAUUGGAGUUUAGUAUAGAUUUUUGGGCUUUGCUUUUGUUUGGACAAAUGACUUGGGAUUUUCCCUUCGAUUUUGAUCUAAAAAUUGACGACUCACCUAAAUAAGAACUUAGGUAGGUAGAGACUAUCGGCAUGGACUUUGGAUCCCCAACACUUUCGCCAUCGAAUGGAUUCUACUACUACUACUACUUUUUUUUUCCUUUUUAAAUUCAUAUGACGGGGGCCCACAAAGCUUCACAGAAAACACACUGCCCCACACGGAUUUAAGACUCGAUUUUCCUGGAGUCAGUUGCUUUGCUCAUUGCCCUCUGUACUACUAUGAGAUUGCGGGUGGGGUCCCCAAUCCCCAUAUGGUGACCGGUAAUUUGCAAUUUUCCAAUGUUUUUAAACUCGGACCGGUCAGUGAACCGGAGAGGUUGCCGGUUCGCGGUCCGACUGAUUCGACCGGUCCAACCGGCCGGUUCACAGGUUCACUGAUUUUUUUUUUUUUUUUAAGUGUUAAGUACUAAACAGGUUUAAUUCUACACUUGAACUUUACCAACAUAACUUAAUUUAAGUUAUGAUAAUAAUAAAUUUCCUAAAAGUUAUACAUAAAACAUGGAAUGAUAAAUAUAAUUAAAAUAUCAUAAUUCACCACAAGUUUUCAUAAAUUCAUUAUAAACAUAAAUAGAUACAAUCCAAAUGUUCACCAAUUAUCACAAAUAAAAACACAAAAAAUAAAUAAAUUAAAUAUUGAAAUUCUUUUACAACCCUUAAAAAAAUCCAUAAAAGAGUUCAAGUUAAGACAAAUAAUUUGAAUAGCAAACUUUUAUGAGUGGCAUGAUAAGCAACCACAGCACCUUCACAAUUUAAUCAACUUAAGCUGAAAAAGUUAAAAUUUUAUUAUAAAAAUAUAAAUCUAAUUGCUCAAAUUAAAAAAAACUAAAAAUUUUUGAAAAACAAAUAUACAGUUAAACACAUAAAAAAUUAAUUGCUACUAAACAUUACUAAUUAACAUGUUAUAUUAAAUUCAAUGAUCCUAUACCAUUAAUUAUUUUAAAUUCAAUUAUCAGUAGCUUCGAUUAUGUGCUAACUAUCAUAUUUUUGACCAGCCCAAUGUUAUUAUUUAUAAUUCUUACCCAAUUCCUACAUGGAUGUGCACUACUUUUGCAAAAAUUUCAUCAUUAAUUAAUCAAAUAAAAAUAAAACAAAAAAUGAGGGAAACAUAUGAAAAUUGAGGGGAAAAAGAAGAAAAUGCAAAAAAAUCAACUAAAGAUAAUAAUAUAGAAAAAAAAACCUUGAAAAGAAAAAAAUUAAACUUACCAAGAUGUUGGAAAACAAGAAAAGUCGAAUUUUCAACUUGUUUACAAUCUGCUAAAGAUAAUAACCUGAUAAUAAUGGUGAAGACUUGAGAAAAUCUUGUUGUGGAUAUUUGGGUUAAAAAUGGUUAAGAAGAAAAAAUUGAAAAAAAAAAUAAGAGAAGAACUUGAUGUUUUAAUAUAUUUUUUAGUCAAGUAGAAUUCUCAACAAACUUAACUACAGUCUAGCGGUAAGAUUGUCAUAUGCAAACUUGGAGACUCGAAUUAUGGCUACACCAUUCUUGAUAUUUUGUUGAAAAAUUUAAAAAACCGCCGAUUCACGGUUCUUAACGGUUCACACGGUUCAUCCGGUUCGUCCGAGUUUCAACGGUUCUCCAUGAACUUCCGGCUUUAGCAUUAGACCGGACCGGUGACAUGGCCGGUUCGCGGUCCAACUGGUCGAACCGGCCGGUCCGGUCCGUGUGAGAACCCUGAAAAUAGAUAUAUAAGCCAGUGCAUAUUUCAUUUGCAUUUUUUUUAUUCCUUAAUAAUUUCUAACAUUACCUUUACUUGUUCGCAAUUAAGUACGUAAAAAUAGAUUUAUGAAAAAAAUAAUAUAAUUUUCCUAAGUUAUGAAAUUUCUUGGUUUUGCUAGACUAAAUUAAAAAUCUUUAGUGUUAGAUUAAUUUUUCGCCUUAACAUAAAAUGUUAGAAUACUUAAUUCCUUUAUGCUAAAGUAAUGAUAAUGGAAUCGAUAGAUUUACUAUCUUUAAAUAAAUUAUUUAAGUUCCUAUGAUUAAUUCCAAUUAGUUGCUAAUGUUAAAUGUUAAUAGGAAUUUCCGCGUUAAGAUAAAAAUCAAUGAAUUUUAGAUAAAUAUGAUAUUCCUAUACUAAACAUACUUAAGGCAUGAAAAUUCGAUAAAUAUAUCAUUAUCUUUCUUUAUUUUUAUAAUAAGUGCGUAAAAAUAAUUUUAUGGGCAAAUUGUCGCACUUGUAUGAAAUUAUUAUUUCACUUUACUUUAUAUUACUAAAUCGAUAAAUUUUGUGUAGGAUAACUUUAAUUCUUGAGAAUAAAUAAUUGGAGAUGCGGAUAAUUAAGUUAAUCGCUAAAUAAUGUUAGGAACCUUAAUAUUUAAGUUUAAUCGAUAUUUAUUCGAUAAAAAUGGUUAAGUAUAUUGGGGGGUUAUUAGGCGUUCAAAUCACUCUUGAGGAUAAAUCUUAGAAAUUAAGUUGAGAUUAGAAAACAAAGUGAAAAGACUAAAAGACCCUUACAAUUUCAUACGAAACCAAACGACCCCUAUGACAAAAUUCCCAUCACCGCAACUUCGACCAAUUACAUUUUAACCAAUUCGAUACGCAAACCUUUCGUAAACCGCGGCACCACAAAACCACUUGAUCAAAUUCACACUACAUCUCACAACCAUUUCAGCCGACUCUUUCUCUGCACAAGCCAAAUCCGCAAUCCAUUGCACUCCAAAUACCACGAUACCAACCACUCUACUCUUUCAUUUUUGAUUCACAACAAAACCUCAUUUCUUCCCUGCCUUGUCCGAGAGCAUCCGAGAGAGUGAGAGAGCUGCUGGAAAUUUUUGGUCCUGCCGUGAGUAGAGCAAAGCCAGGAAGGAGAAUCUGCAGGAAGCUACACCAUCUCACCUUCAUCCGCAACCCAAUUCCAGCCGCAACUCAAACCAGGACCACGUCUGAACUUGGCCGAGAGUGAGGGAAGACAUUUCUGGAAAAUUCGUGUGAGGGUUUAGCUAUUAGCUGAGGUAAUUUCUGAACUAAAUAAGUUAAUUGCUAGUGAAUGAAGCCAUAUCAGAGGUUGUAUGGGUUGAUUGUGUAGUUGGAUGAUGAAAUCAAGAGUUGAGAAAAAAAUUCUGUUUUGGCUUGAAAUUUUUGCCGAGAGGUUUCUUGAUUAAUGUAGCCUGAUUUGGUUUAAUGUUGUUAUUUAAGCUUAUAACCAUAACUAGUUACUUAAUCACAAGUUAAUUAGGUUCUGCUUGCGGCUAAUUAGUUAGUUAAAAAAAAAAAAUGAAAUCAAAGAGCAAUCUGCCAAGCAUGUUCAUCCGAGUCAGGCAGGAAAAUUUUUGAAAAUUUUGAUGUUCAUGGUUGUUAUGUGAACUUGAUUUCCAAACUGGAAAUGUUAAUCAGUGGUUAAGCAUAUGCAUAUUGAAUUUGAGCUCCUAACACCUUGACUUAACCAAGGAAAAUCUGGUUUUAAAAAUCAUUUUUAUUUGCUGGAAAAUUUUAGCAAAAGCCGUGAGGUUUAAAUCUGGAAAUUUUGGGGGUUUGUAACCAUGACUUAAACUCAACUCUUGAUCUGGAAAUGUCUAUUGUCUAGUUAAGUAUUUGUAAUUAGGAGUUGAGAAUUUAAAAGCAUGUUUUAAACCAGAAAAUGAGACGAAAACAGAAAAUUUCUUCAUGCACGAUUCACGUAGCUUGUUGAACAGAAUUCUGAAAUUUUUGGAGCGUUUGAACCUGCUAUUCGAAUUCGACUUUCAACCAAAAAUAUUAAUUGGUUAGCCAAAGGUUCACAUGAUGAAGUUGAGAAUCUAAAACCAUGUUUAGCCGAGGAAAAAAUUUGAUUUAUAAACACCUCAAUGCUGGGGAAAAAAAAAUUUCUGGAAUAGCCGAGAGGCUUGAUCAGAAAAUUUCAGUUGUUUUCUUUUGAACUUUAAAUUAUUUCUGGAUUUUUCCUUGGAAUUUUAAUGGUUGAGAAAUGCAGAGAAGUUGUAAGCCUUAAGUUGUGUAAGUCGGUUAGCAAUGAAAAUAUUUGAGAUAUAUGGAAUAGUGGAACCAGAAAAUGUGAGUUAUACAUGUGGAAAUUUUUGUGUGAUAGCCAAAGGGUAAGUUGGAGCCUUAACUGGAUUUUUUUUUUAUUUGUUCCUUGAAACUUGAUGGAUGGAAACGCCUGGAAAAUAUUGUUUUGGAGUUCUACAAGAAGUGUAUGGAUAGGUUAAAUAAAAACAUGUUGGUGUUAAAAGAGAAAAAGGAGUUUUCACAAGUGAAAAACUGAAAUUCCAGAUUUUUGGAUAUCUCUGACCAGUCUCAACGAAAUGGUUAUAUCUUGGUGUGGAAAAAUCCGUUUAAGGCGCCGUCAGUGGCGUUCGAAACUAGAAACAUAGGUCUUUGUCCUGUAAAAAUUUCAUAUUUUUCCUCCAUGUGUACUGUUGCCGGUAAACCCUCAAAGUGGACUGUUUGGACGGAUGUCCUGUUUCUUCGUGAAACUGAAAUUUGGUUUGGAUGGAUAUUUUAGCUUACUUGUGGUAUAAAUUCUUGAUUUAAAUUGUGGAUUGGAAGUAAUUGAUGUUGUCAAGGGCUAAUGAUUGAUGAAGCCUUGGCCAUUUGAAUGACUUUAUAAUUACUACUGGAAGACGAAAGAAAAUUUCUGGAAAGUCUUGGAAGCUUUACUUUUAUUUUUAAUUGCUUAUGAUGGGAUUUCUGAAACCAAGUGCUAAUGAUUGAUGAAGCCUUGGUUGAUUUAUUGAAAAUUUAUUGAAGGUGGGCUCUAUGAAUUCCCACCCUGAAUGGAUAACUGAAUUGCUGAAAUUGUUUAGACAUCUGCGCUACUAUUUUGUAAAACUGUGAGUUGAUAUAAAUUGUUGAAGCACAGGGCUAUGAAUUAACGAGCCCUAGUGUUAUUACGGUUUAAGUUCUAAUUGUGCAAUAUUGAGAAAAUGUGAUUUUUGGAUUGGAAUCGAAAAUGUGAGAAGUUGUACCAACCUUGUGACUCCAAGUAAACGCUUGACUAAGUAAUUGAAAAACAUUUUGCUCUAAGUCUUGAACGGUACAAUUUUAGCAUAGUACGACUAAACAUAGUGUCUAAUAUUAUAUAUAUAUUUUUUUGACUUAAAAACUUGGGCAACAUGACUUUUAACCCUUAAGUUAGACUAGCCUUAUUUAUUUGGGAAAAAUAACUCUCCAAGACUUAAAACCUUAGUUUGUUUCAAUUUCCUUCCUUCUUUAUAAAUCGUUUAAGGCUAGUUGUAACUAAGGAAAAGUUUUAAAGGGUGAGUCUUGAUCACCUUAGCUAUAUGUAUAGAAACUCGCUCGGCAAGAGAGACAUUAUUUUCUUUUAGCAAAACAGCUUUAGCAACGUUUGUAUAAGAAACCUUAUCUUGAAGCCUUAGCAAUAAAUUUUGCAAGCACCACCACUCAAAAGAACUUUUUCUCAAGGUAUACUCUUAGCCUCGAUAUUAAAUAGCUUGCCGACUUAUUUUAAGAAAAUAAUAAUAGUAUUUUCUUUAAGAAAAGUAUUCCAAGGAAAAACUAAAGGAAACAAUUCUUCUACUUUCGUCAAGAUUCAACCUAUGGAGAUUCUUGAUUUUUCUAAGGGAAAGUGAACUAGUAGUAUAUUAGAUAUACCUCUAUAUCUAUAAGCUUAAAGACUGAGUAGAAACUUAUAGUUUCAAAAUUUGGUUUUUAGGAUACUGCGAGGACGCGGAAUUCGAUUCCCAACUUGAUAUCUAAACUUCACUCUGGGUGAGUGUCCCUGCUUGUUCUAUGCUUAACCGUUUAAAGUGCUUUCUUGACUUGAUAUGUGAUAAUUUGAAAAAUUGGUUUCUGAUCCAUCGAAGUGAGCUGUGUGUACUUUAUCGCACUAGCCGUUCGAGUGGUGACUUGUGCAAAAACAUUUUUCUUCUGAAUCCAUAAAUCUAAAAUGUAGUUGCGUCGUUGGGUGAAUCCCUCGACUUCUGUAUCCAACUAUCAUAAAUCUAAAAUGUAGUUGCGUCGUUGGGUGAAUCUCUCGACUUCUGUAUCCAACUACCAUAAAUCUAAAAUGUAGUUGCGUCGUUGGGUAAAUCUCUCGGCUUCUGUAUCCAACUACCAUGACGGGUAUAUCUCGAGUAUACUACGUCCUUAGUCGGUGAGCGGGCCCGGGACAGGGGUAUGAAAGGUGACGGGUUAGGAUCAAAAUGAGUGAAUGUACAUGGUCUCUAAGUAGUGAGAGUUGACGGAGGGUCAACUACGAUGAAUGGUGUUCAAGCGAGGAAAAUGGCUCCUGAGAGCCCCUGUAUCCUACCUUGUGCUGUUAUACGCUUUCCUAACUGUUUAAAUUUGCUGAGUUAUUAUCCGCUGUUUGUUAUUACGUGAUUGCAUGUUUUGGGGCACCACUGAGCUUUAGCUCACCCCACGUUUAUUGUUUUCCUUAACAGGUUCUGGAAACUGAAAGCUGGACACUUACUUAUGUUUUUCUUUUGGAUUGUAUUUGAAUAUUAUGACUUAUUCUGUGGGCUGUAAUGUGUUAUCUGGGAUAAUGUAUUUUUCCUUUUUGGAUUGCCACUUGAAGCUGGAAAAUGUGUAAACCCUAAUUCGAUUACUUGGUUUGUAAGUUUGUAAUAGAGAUUUAUGGAUUUUAUCUAUCCGGUUUGUUACGACUUAUUUCUUUGAUACGUAGCAUGUAGGACGUUUAAGGGCCUCGACUGGUUAUUUUUAUCACUGCUAUCUCUGAAGUUAAUGUGGCUUUAAGGAUGAUCUUAUUCGGGGAAAAUUGUUUUGUAAUAUAUUAGGUUAUUCUUCGAAAGGUUCGGGUUAGAUUGCUCGCAUGAGUCUUGGCGAGAGUUGGGCAGACGGCCCGCCAACCCUUUGGUUCGCCUCAGGGGGAAGUGGGGUCGCCACAGUCCGGUUCUGAAAACACUGCAAUUUUCAACUCUCACAGUUUUGCCCUGCUGCGUCCGGCGCACCUGCCCUUCCAACGGUUUGAAUGGGUCGCGUCAUUUCGUCUUUGAUCUCAGCCGUCUCUUUCAAAAAUUAUAUGUGUUUUUUUUUUCAAAAAAAAUAUUUUUCAAUUAAACAAUUUUUUUAAGUGUUUUUUUUCAGACUUUUAAAGUUAGUUAAUUAAAACCUUCAAAUCUUACGAGGGAGGGAGAAAAGGAAUAGGAAAGGCUUGACGGUCAGAACCUAGGAAGGAAAAGUUUUUGUUCUUAGCUCCGCAUAGUUGAUGCUAUGUUACUAAAACAUGAAAGAAUAUGAAUUGAUAGUUUUGGUAGAAAAAUUUUAAAAUAUUUUUUUAAUACAUUUUUCAAACGUCAUUGUAUUUCACAUAUAUUACAUUAUUACAUUAUAAUUUUCUACAAAAAAAAAUAAACUUAAAAAGAUGGCAAUCCAAAUGAGACUGAAAUCAAUUUUUAUGUGUAUGACUUCUUAAAACGAAAUUCCUAAAGUAUAUAUAUAUAUAGGCUAAGAGUUUAUGUCUGAUAAAAGAGGGUGCAAUUCGACAAUCUUUCAGAUUUUUUUAUAGCCGUCCAAUUGAAAAUUUGAAACUGAGUUAUCUAUAUAAGAUAAACAUAAAAGAAAAGAUUUAAGCACUAUUUAAAUUGUAAACUGAACCAGAGUCAAUAGAUUAAGACCCGUUAAGAAUUUGGUGUGGUCUGCCUUUUGGUGGACAGUUUUACUGCCAUUAAUCCAUCACUUGUUUAUCCCUCUUUACAUUUCAGUUUCUGCGUGAAACUUGUAAUUAACCUUCUAAUACCAAAUCAAUAUGUGUGUAGACUGUACACAUUGAAUAUUAUUUGAGAUAAUUUUUAUUAAAAAAUACUAUAAUAUAUUUUUUAUAUAAUGUAUGUAAUAUAAAAAUAAUUAAAAAUAUAUGUAUCAUACGAGCAAAUAAAUUUACGUAAAUAAUUUAUUAUCCAGACACAGUAGUCUUUACCGUACGCCUGGAAAUUGGAAUGGGAGGGGACGAAAAGAAAAAGCUUUGACACAGUGACAUGCAAUGGCUCCUCACAUCUUUUCUUCUGUGGAUGAACGAAAAAAUCCAUUUGCGUUUCGAUUGACAAGGUACCAGCUAUCCGACAUAGACGGGUUAUUCUUGCUUCGAACACAAGCAUUUCCAUAACUAUUGAUGAUGUCUCUUCGGGGACAUCCGAUAACUAUUUGAUGGUGGGGUUUUGAUGGUUUCUCUGCCUAAUUUUCUAGAUACAAAAUGAUACGAAAGUGAUUCUUGUAACGGGUGUUAAUUUGGCUCGGCACUCGUAAGCAUAUUUAAAUUACACUUAAUUUAUCAUGUAAUUUCACACAUUCACAUUUAUUAUUACUGUAUUUAGACCAUUUUUUUUCACAUUAAUUUUAAUUUUGUAAAAAUAUAACAUCUGAAAUCUCUCUUAACGAGUGCUCCUACGUUCAUAUAAAAUAAUAAUUAAUGUCUUUUGGUAUGAUAGUUUUGUCACAAGUACCUAAUAUUGCAUUUCAAGAUUCUUAAAAAGGAUCUACAUGUUUGAUGUUACUCUUCAUCCUAGUUAAGAUUGAGGUCCUGAAACUUUUUAAUCAACCAAGAUUCAAGGUUCUACAAAAUAGUGGUGGAAAAAAAUGGCAUUGCAUUUGUAUAAUCUUCCGUGUUCUGGGUGCUCCAAUGAUCCUUUCCAUUAGCAACUAAUUUUUUUUUUUUGAAAAAAGAUUACAAUUCAAACAAACCCAAUUGUUUGACAAAAUUUCUCAACUGCUUUGUAAUUCCAAGAAUUCUCAAGACCAACAUAGAGUUUAAAGGCGAGAAUCACAACUCUGACAGUAAAGGAUUAUAUUAAUUAGUGCGUUUGGAUUGUUGAAUUAUCUCAAAUAAUAUUUCACUUCCAUCAUAAACAUAUUUUUUCAAUAUACUUUUUUUUAAUAUUUUCAACUGCCUUUUUAUCUCAUAUACAUCACAUCACAAAAGUGUUACGGUAAUUAUUCCAAAUAAUACUCUAUCCAAACACUUAAACUCGGACCGGAGAGUGAAUCGAAAAAUUCAUCCGAUUCACGGUUCGACCGGUUCAAUUCCAGUUCAAAGGCUUAACAAAUUUUUAUUCAUUUUAGUAUUAAAAAUAUUGAAUAAAACUAAAAUAUUUAUCUUGGAGACUAAAGAUUUAAUAAGUACCGGUUGAACCUCUCAAUUUUUAUCAGUUUUACUAGUUCAAUCGACUCUUGACCGAGUUUGACUGAUUCAAUUGAUUUUUUAGAUUAUUAAUUGAAUUGGAUUGGAGGCAUAGACAGUUCGUGAUUCGAUCAAUCGGUCUGGUCUGAUUUUCGAAACACUGCUGCAAUAAAGAAACUAAAUGCAGCCUAAGGGCUUAUCGAAUGACAAGUAAAACAUCUGACCGAGUUAACCGUACAUCAAAGAGUACUGAAGAAAAAAAAAAAGAUUUCAUCCCAAUUUGCACGUUAUACAUGCACUUAAGAUUAUUAAGAAAACACUGAGGAUUACAACUAUCAAAGCAAGCUAGGUUGAGUUGCUAACUUUACCAAGAACAUAAAGCAUGCCGUGAACAUUAUUAAUAUAUAGUUGCAAAAUCUUUUAUCUUGAAAUUACUGAUGCACAUGCUGUAUUAAAUAGCCAAAUUGUUCAGAUAGACCAAUAAUUCACAAUGAGCAGAAUAACAGGUCGUCAACCUAGGAAGUAGUAAACUAAAAGUCGUUUUUAAAUAAUUAACUCAAUACCAUGAGUUAAUUGGACACACACACACUAUAUCUUAAAUAAGUAAAUAAUUAGUGUCGAGGGAGAGGAUAAUUAGUAGGUAGAGAGAGUGAAUAACUUUUUCUACAAGAGUGAGUAUGGAAGAACAUUCCAAUCAUAGAGAAAUGCUUUUUAAUUUUCCAUGAAAGAAGACUUCACCCCUCGAAUGGGUCUUUUCUGUGCCAAAUUUUGGUGGGAAUAUUUGGUGUUUCCCAGCAACCUUUUCUGACAAUCGCGUACAUACUUAUGUUGACUGAAAGGUGAAAAAAAGGUUUUAAAAAAUGGUUUUGAAAAUGAAGUGAGGAGAAAAAGAUAGAACUUGAAAAGGGCAGGCUGCAUUUUGAAGGGUUUGUAUGCUAUUCACUUCCACCUUCAACUUUAUGUUGGGAAAAGCACAUGGAGGCAUCAGUACACGAGUCAAAUAUAGCCAUUCGGUGAUGUUACACAUUAGACUAUCAUUACAAAUCAAUUUCCCUUGUAUUGAGUUGAUGUGUAGAAUGUUUCCCUUUGUAGCCAAAUUAGAGAUUUUUCGGUUUGAGUUACAAAUUAGUAGUGAUUCAUAUAUUGAAGAAGUAUUAACGCGCUUGUGGUGUUAAAAAUCAUCUCAAAAUGACUAUAAGAUUUGACAAAGCAAUUCUCGAAUUAUUUUGGGGAUAUAAUACUCAUUUCUUCAAUCACAUAUAUAUAUAUAUAUAUAUAUAUAUAAUUGACGAGUAUAUUUAACGAGUGCACAUCAGACACUUGUUACGAUGUAUUCUAGUGUAAAAUUUUUAAGCGCUUGGCAAGUGUCAUUUCCGUUCAACUGGGAAAUGGGAAUCAUAGCAUGCAAAAGGUACCAAACAAGUGUAGCAGAUUUUUUUUUUUUUUUUCGCAACGGUAGAUGUCCUAUAACCUAAUCUAACCUAAUUUAGGGGGAAGGGAUAAAGGGAGAUGGUCAACUAAAACCAAUCACAUAUUAUGGCAAAUUUGAGGGAGGCAGGGGUUAAACCCCUGAUUCCAGCAUCACUAAAGAGGGUGAUAACCACUGGACCAAAUUGACAGUGGCAAACAAGUGUAGCAGAUUGCUUAUGUUAAACUUGGAACUCUCAGUCAGUACUGUUGCAGAAAUUCUAAAGCACAGUCGAGUCCAAGACACAACAUGACGGUAUAACCACCUCCACAUAAUUAAUUAAUCAAAGCAGUUUAAUUGACGGGACAUUUUUUUAAGCCAAAAACAAAAAAAAGUUAGCUCGAAUUUCUAGGCAAAAAGCAAAAGAUACCCACCUAAUUCCUCACUUAACUUUUUAAGAACGAAUUUUAUACAUUUUCUUUCUGGUAGAAAAGGAUGUGUCUGUGUACCUCAUAUUGGCGGUAUAAUACUCGUCUGGUCUACAAAGUCUAUAAUGAUAUUCUGAGGAGGACCGAGCAGACUGCUCAUCUCAUCUUCAUAUAAUUGCAUUGUACUAUUCUAAAACAAUUGCAAAAUUUUUCUCCCUUGUUUUUUUGUCGGCAAUAAGAAUAAAAUUGGAAAGUAUAAUGCACUGCAGUACCCAAUCAAUGCUCUUCUUUUAUCCAAGAAAAUGAAGAAGAAAGAACAGUCAAAGGUGGUUGUUUGUCUGUUUGUUUGGAUGGAGUAUUAUUUGAAAUAAUUACUGUAACACCUUUUGUAAUAUGACGUAUGUUAGAUAAAAAAGUAUGGUUGAAAAUAUAAAAAUAUGAGUUGAAAAAUAUAUUUAUGAUACAAGCGGAAUAUUAUUUAGGAUUUACCGUCUGGUAAAAACGACAGCAGUGCAGUGGACUAGACAUUUUCUACUGACUCGUAGAAGUUAAAUUUGGAAUUUUGGUAGUCAAGUGGAAUAAUACUAGUAAGGUAAUAGAUAUGUAUGUAGAACCAAGUAAAACUUGGAUCCAUUCAAAUCACUAGAAUGUUUGUUAGAGCAGCAUCAUUUGCUGUUGUGGAUCAAUCGAUAAUUAUAUAUGCUGUUGUGGGUUCCGCUUCAGCUAAUGUCAAGAUUAACUCUCUUUUUAAGUGCAAUUUAAGUAACAAAGAAGUUAAAAGAACGAGAGAGGGAGUCAGAUAGAAAUUGGAGUGACAAAGAGGUAGAAAGUGUUCCAUAGCCCUCAAGGAAUGCUCCAACCCUAGUAAUGCAUAUCCACUUCAGUUAUCUUUCUUCCGCGAGCAAUUGAUUACUAAUCAAUUUCCUUGAUCUUUCUCGAUUUGUCAUAACCGAAAAAGAUGUGUGCUCAGCUCAUUUGAGGGGAAAUUAGCAUACAACUAUCAAAGACAUAAACUAAUAACAAUUCUAGUUUCAUCUUUUGAGUUAAUAAAUGACUAGAAUGGCAAGUAUAAAGACAUGGGAAAGGAACAAAACCAACUACCAUCAGCCAACCAAAAAUGCAUUAAACUUUGCAGAAACCUAGCCAAAUGAAUUUAAAUGUCGUAUGCCAAAGUAUCCCUUUUAUUUUCUUUUACGUGUAGAGCAUAAACAUAUAUAGUUUUGUCUAUCUUAAGCAGUCGAGAUAUUUCUAAUUCGACUCUCAAGUUCUUAAAAUUUUUUGUUUAAAAUAUGCAUAUACAGACACAGUCGGGAUAGGAGGAUAGAAUUGUCGUGUGAUUGGUGCAAGACGAUCAAGAGGCUGUCUUUACCCCCGCAUUUGGCGCUGAUGUGUAAUUCUCAGUUCUCCCGUAGAUGGACGGAUAGAUACUCUACUCCCACUAGUACGUACUAUAUCUAUAUGUGCUGCGUCGAGCCAUCUGACUGACUGACUUGUUGAGUGUACAAAACAAAUACCACUAAAAAACCCAGUCAGAUCAAAAUAUCAAAUGUGUUUCUUGGCCUUUGGGUCUCCUCCAACCCCGUAGGCUGCUCUUGGCCUUUUCUACAUUUUUUCUCCCACUCCACAGUCUAUACACCCACUCUUUUGGAGGGCGGGGGAGGAAAAUGUAACACGAACAAAUGUGCAAGUAGCAUGCAAUUGACUACAGUACAACAAACAAGUCCUUAUAAAAUGACCACAAUUAUCACUCCUAUUAUUAAUUACACGUUCCUCUUUUAGGCCUCCUCCACCCGACUCCCCUUGUCUUUCUCCCUUCCAAGGCUUCGACUUUAUCCAUCAUCAAUUUAACUUGCUACAACUGCAGCAGCACUAUGGAAAGCCAGAGGGGUCCUCUUCUGAAUUGGCCUUACUUCUACCAAGGAAAGGUUAGGCAUUAUGUAUAUCUUCAAUCCAUUCAUUUGAUCUGAUGAGAAUUGUAAUGUGUACUAAAGAUGUUUGUUUGGCUGAAACAGGGCAUGGAUGAACUGAGGCAAUCACUUCUGCUGACUACUAUGGAGCUGGAGAACACGAGGCUAAAAGCACAAGAGGAGCUCAAAAUGAGAGAUGAUCAGCUAUUUCAGCUCAAAGAUUUGCUCUCAGCAGAACCAUCAAAGAAAGGGAUGAAGCACAAGAACAAUGCCAAAGACUCGUGCUUGAUAAGCUACUGCUCCAGCAGCAGCAGCUGAUGCUUCACGCCAGAAUCAGCAAUCAGCACCCCUCUCUGGAAUUUCAAGCAUCGAAGAUGAGCCCAGAAGAGGAGGAGGAGGAAUGGACUCCAACAACGGCUUUUCUUCCUCCGACUGCGAAGAAAGCAUUGUUUCAUCGCCAAUUAUUGAGCAAAAUCCGCCGCAAGAAUUGACUUAUCAGCUUCAAGUUCAACCACAACAUCCCACAGCAGAAUUAGACCCAACAUUGCCUAUUUUGACAGACAGGCCAUUGCCUGAAAAAGGGCAGUUCUUGCAAGCUGUUAUGAAAGCUGGGCCGUUGCUUCAGACACUUCUUUUAGCUGGCCCUCUCCCACAGUGGCGCCACCCCCCACCACCACUCGACUCCUACCAGAUUCCACCGCCACCUACACCUCCAACACUAUCGGGUCACUCCCUAAAUCAAGAUUCUUUACUCACCAUUGCUGCCUACAAUAGUAACAUUAACAACUGUGGCAGAAUGAACAGGAAAAGGGGUUACUUUGAGGGCUCUGAUUCUUCAACUGAAGCCAAGUAUCAAAGGCUCGUUCUUCAAUGACUAGUAGUGCCGUUAAUCUACUUCCACCCCAUAAAGCAGAGUGAUACAAGUAGUUCUUUUCUUAGAGGAGGCUUGGAGUACGAUUUUGGAACCUGGGGUCAACUGAUCAUAUACUAGCAUUCUGUACAUAGUUCAGAAAUUCUUGAGUUAAGAGGCUGAAAAGAUCAGAGUUAAUCAGCUGUAGGAGAAGACUAGGGAGACAGGGAUGUUUGUUGUGGUCCUGUUUUUUUACUUUUCAGCUUGUUUCUGCCUCAGUAUUGGUUGGUUUGUCUGCUUCACCAGUGUCAAAAUUCCCUCUACCUUGUGCAAAGGGGAUUUGAUUUUCCAAUAUAAUUACAAGGGGAUAUUUUGCAGAUUCGACGUGCAAUUCAAAUAUUGUUGAGUUUGGUUAAGUAUGCAAGUAAUAAUGCAACAAUUUUGUCGCUCAUAAUUUAGUCAUGAUGCAGAUAUAUGAUGAAUAAGAAAUGCAUGCUUGUGAUUUGCUCAAGCGAAAGGGGCUAUCAGCAGAAUUAACUUGACUAGCAUGGUCGUACAAACGUUCACUCAACCUGCAAUGUCUGAUGUUCCACCAGCUAUAGUUUCUUGACAAUGUGUCAUGCAGUGGGAGGUGGGAAAAUAGAGUGGGGAAAGAGGGGUUGUGGGGGUUUGGAGGAACAUCAAAAUGUUUAUGUAAACGGAACAUCAAAAUGUUUUUUUUUUUUUUUAAAAAAAAAGAAGAUCAUGAAAAAUGGUAUUUUAGAACGUGGAUUGGUUACAUUGGAGGAUAGCAGAAGGCCAUAGCCAAGAGCCGCUAGGUCCAGGAGAGCCUUGUUGUCGGGUCGAGUGGUUCCCACAAAUCAGAAUCAGGAUCUACUACUUGUGUGUGAUUUAUUAUUUUAAGUGGAUUUGAUGCAUCUCAAAUCAUUUUUAGGUACAUUUUGAUCCAAAGUUUUCUUUAAUACUGCUGCUACUGCUUUCCCCAUUUCUCCAUCCACCCCCACUCCCCUCAUAUUUGGUUAGCUAAUUCCAAAAAGUUCAGUAAUUUUCUUGUGCCGGUCAAUUACAGAAGUCCAAAGCAAAGGCAAAUACAAGUGUGAGUGCGUGCUGCAGUUUCUUUCUUAUGUUCACAGGACAUCCAAUUGUUAAUAGACUAAUAGUAUGGACGCAGGGAAUAAUCCAACCUCGUCCUUUGGGCUGCUUCUAAGUGUUGCCAUUUCAGAAUAUAGACUUCGGAAGUUUUCACUGCCGUUUCCUAUGGUCCGAACACAAGCUACAAAGGCCAAUUUUGCAUUUUUCAUUUCUCUUCCUUGUCACUAUCCUUCUAAAAACAACCAAUUUCCAGCUCAUGGGAGUGCGGAGCAAGGCAAAGAAAGAGCCUCUACUCAGAAGAAAAAUGAAGAGUCGAGUCGAGUCAAGAGUCUAAGGUCCGAUAUUUUUAGUAGAACCAUAGAAGAUCAGCUAUCAGACAUUUUUAGCAGUGACUUGCUACAUUUGAUCAUGCGCAAGUGUGAAAGAGGAUAACGGUUUAGGCAUCUUGCAAAUGUUCUCGACUCCUGGGGUAGACACUUUAGACCAGAAACUCUCUUCUCUUCGUUGCAAAAAUUAACGGCAGAGUUUCAAAAAAUCCAAUCCGCCCUGGUGGCAGAAGUUUCUGCUACCUGAUGAUGACUAGAAAGAGUCAGAUGGAAGUACUAACGCGAUUGCGGUUCUUUGACUUCAAAAGUCUUUUAACGAACUCUAGCAGCCUCCAAAGGGAACGCUCUCAAGCCUGAGACCCAUCCUUUUCAAUCCCAUACCUAACCUACCCCCAUCCAUGCCUAAUGCGCGUUUAACCAACAUCAUUGCCAGGUUUACUAACGUUUCCAAAUCCCACAGCAGGCACAGCAAGUAAUCAUUGGUCCCAAGAACCCAAGUCUGGUGCCCCAAAGAAAAUUUGAGAAUUGAUAGAGAAAGACAAUAUCGUGCUAAUCACCCCAGACGUAGAUAUGAAACUGUGAAGAGGCAUUCCAGUUGUAUCACAACUGGUAAACUUGAAAUCCAAAACCCAACUGCGUUUUCCCGUGGAAACGCGAUGUCUUCUUCCUCUUGACAACAUAUGCACAAGCAGGUCAAGUAAAUACUCGGUCUCCAGCUGUAACAUGUGCCAUUUUCUAGAACACAUUCAGACCAAGUAAUAACCUGAGGGAUAAUGCUCCCACCGUAUAAGCAACAGUCUUGGAAGUCCGUCUUUCUUUUUCUUUUUUUCCGCCUUCUUUCCUUUGCCCAGAUAUAGAUCAAAUUAUACAUGUAACAGCUGGAAACUGCUAAAGCCAGAUUUUAAAAUGAAUCAACAGAUUAUAUGGGAAAACUGGAACAGCAAAUAAAAGGUUCCGAGUAUUGCAGCGCAUCUCUAUCUUUCAUAGCAAUAGAAGAAAGUUUACAGCAGAUAGGAGGGUCUGCAACUUGAAAACCAGAACUGUCACCUCUCGAAUUUUGGGUAUCAGUAUUGGAAGGAUGGGAAACCAGCAUUAGAAUGAUGACAAACUUAAUACCAAAAUGGCAAAAUCCUAAAUGUGUGCGUGUGUGCGCGCGUGUGAGAGAGAGAGAGAGAGGGAAUCCCCACCAAACAAACACACACCACCACAAAAAAAAAAGUUGCAAGACACGGAUAUGAUUGUGAAAUAAAUACAGGGUUUUUAUCUAAAGAUGCAUGCAAUCAAAAGUAUCUGGACAGGUUUUAACAUUAUUUUGGUAGCUGUGACUCAUAAAUCAUAAUUCAAGAAAUUAAAUGGGUUUUAAAUGACAUGUGCCAUCGGUUAUAUUACUCGCACUGUGAAUAUUACUUAGAUCAGUGAAACCAAUGCAUCAAAUUUGACAAUAACACAAGUUUGCAGAGGGCACGACUUACUUUUGUGGAUGCCCAGACAUGCACAAUAGGCAUCAUUUCUAUAAAUGAACUAAAAUAUCCAACUAAUUGCUUUCAUUAUUGCUCAUCAUCAUCGCGGUUACUUUGAUUGUGUUUCUGAGCUCUAUAAAUAUCUGCUACCUGCAAUCCAACAACAAUUCAGAAAGAGGCCCAGGCAACAUUUCAUUAAUGUGCGAAAGAUUAUCAGUGAAUUAAUAAAGAACCAGCAAUCAAAAGAUUUUUCUUUACCAUAUCAGCAGAAGAGGCAUCCUCUGGAUUCUUAUCUUCUCGAACCCGUAGUAAACGUGGAAACCGAAGAGAAAUUCCCUUUGGAAAAUUAAAAUUAACAAGGUGAAGGGAUAUCAGAUUUGAAUCACAGGAACAAAAUUUUUCAUUGUCUAAGAAUAACUCACGAUCUACAUAACAAUAAUCUCAACACCCGGUUUACCACUAGUUUGGUAUGUCAGAGGAAAAAAAAGUGUCACGAUGUGGCAUGAAGUUCAACAGCCAUAUACACUUUCCUUUGGGGCACGACGAGGGGCAGCACUCCCUCCAAAAUUGAAUGAAGUCUAAAGAUUUUACCAUGUACAUAAUUUAUUUUCAAAGUAGUCCUUUUUGACAAAAGGGUUUGCCCCUUCUAAUGUUUUAAAAAUCUUAUAGCACUUAACAGAGCACCGCAGCCCCCCCACCCCCCCAACAACAAAAAAAACACCCAGCGGCUAACAAAAAGUCUUGGUUUUGCCAAUGCUUGCAAAAAAGGAUAGAAUGAUAGAAAAAGGGAGGAGAAAAUGACCAGUAAAAUUAAUCUUAAGAGCUUAAUCAAAGUAUGAUGGAUUCACUGCCAGGAAGUUCAGAUGUAUUCUUUAACUUAAUUGUACACGCUUGGAAGUAAACAAAUACCUUGUCUGAAUCCACAAUACCAGUAGCAGCACGAUGAACAGGACUGAUAGUCAGAUCAGCAGCUUUUACCUCCCAAACCUGAAGGAGUAUGACUCAAAAGAUCACUGUAUGAGGCAGAACAAUAAUCUGCAUAAAAAAGGAGCAUGCUAGAAGAAAGUCUAUAUUCACAAGGAACGGGAUUCCCACAUGUACAACACGAAGAAUGCUAAUAAAGCAUCCAACUUAAGUCUAAAAAAAUGGAUGUAUCAAACAAAACCCAUAGAGCAAGAAAACUUCGCUCCCAACAUUUCUUCCUGAGUACAGAAACACUCUGGAAAAGAAUAUCACAAAACAUUGGCAUAGAAUUAUUGCAUAAUUCAUUACGAUCAAUGAGAAUCUCACAAAAGAAUAGACAUUGAGAGAUUAUGUGAGCCAGCUGGCACUGAUGUAAAAAGCAGAGUAAUGAAAAAAAGGAAGAAAAUCACAAACAAUGAACAGAAAAGGAAGCAGAGGAUAACUUAUACUACCUCAAUAGGUUCAAACCAUACAUCUGGAUUGAUUGUAUCUGAGUACCGGUAAUAAGACUGGGAUAUCAUUUAAAUCCAGAAACAUGUCAGAAUCCGUAUAAGGUUUACAGAAAUACAAAAUUCUUCCUAUUCAAUGAGGAAGUAAAUGAAAUACCUUUGGCUUGGGAAUAACUUUAGAGCGCAAGCUGGCAGAGCGCUCUUCAAGCACAGCUUCAGAAAAUCCAGUGCCUAAGCACAACCAAGAAGUUUCUUAUCACUUGAUGUCAAGGGAUGUAUGUAUUUAGAGUUUAGACAAAGUAAUUGAAGUUUCCUAUCAAGGUAAAUUUCACAGUGAACCAUUAAGUAGGCACAUUACCAAUUUUACAUAUGCUCUGGAAUUCUUCGUUGUUGACAUCAUAACAAGCAAGGAGAAAGGCUCCAUAAACACCUAAAAAUGGUUCAACAAAGUUAUGAAACCAACUUCCAAUAAAUGCAGCAAUACAAACCCAAUUAAAAAGCAAAAGAGUAUACACUGGUAACUAUAUCUGAAGCUAGGGUGAAGAAUGUCAAGCAUAGUGACACAAAUCUGAAUCUGAGCCAAAAUAAGCGAAUAAUCACUUAGUGUCCUCUCAAAAAUAUGAUAUGUCAAAUUACCAGUACGUUUUCCCCGGCCAUGGAAAGCAGCAAUGGGAACCAAAUCCAGUGAGUCACCCGUACUGCAGAUCAUAUAAGGUGAAAAGUAAGUUUUCAUCCUUGGUUGCUUUUCAAAUUUCUGUAGUAAUCCUUUCUCGUCGAGGCUACUACAGCAUGCCAUGAUCAUUCAGUUUCUAUAUUUAUGUUUGACCUUCUUCUUGACAUUCCAAAUCAAUUACUCGGGGCAGAAGUUCAGCAAAUUUAAGGUUGAUCUAGUAUUUCAUCCAUCCCUUUAAAUGUGUGCUUGCUACCAAUCCAGUAUUUCAUCAAUCCAUUGAAUGUAAAUUUGCCAUUUUUUGGAUGUAUCGAUUUACCUAAAAGGUAAAAUUGCUGAAUAAUUAUGCCCCAAAGGAAUAGCCAGUGCUGUGAGUUCAAUGCACAUACCUAUCCAUGUAAUCCUUUUUCAACUUCAGCCAGUUAUUUGACCGCUUGGAAGGCUCAUACGUGGCAUCUUUCUUCAAUGUCUUAAUUAUCAACCCCUCACAACUGCAAAGAUGGAUAGACAAAAUAACAAACAGUUCUUGUAGAAUCUGUAGAAACAUUUUUGUUGAUUCUGCAGAAAGAAGCUCCAAGCUAGGAGCCCUCAGGUGAAGCUAAGCACAUCUCAACUUUGAAGCCAGAAAAAAGGGAGAAACUACUACUUCUUAGACAAAUAAUAUUACAUUUCACCAUCUAUUAAUGCAGGGAAAAAAAGGGAAAAAGAACUCCUUAGACCACAGCACAUUAGGAACAUAUAGCAAGAAAAAAUGACAGAUGUACAGAGAAAAAACUGAAUUAAAUUAUCUAACUAGUUGACUUUUCUGACCAGCCAAAAUUCUAGUGCACUAGAAGCCAUAAGGUUGGAUGAUCUUAUAUUGCACUAGGCAAGCAUAAGAUCAUCGAAUACAACAGGUUUGACCUAACAGAGAGAAACUGUAUUGUACAAAACUUUGUCCACAGGCAAAAGUUGACAGAUAUAAUAAUUACGAUUCCGCCAAGUGCAGAAGUCAAAGAUUAAAAAAGAAAAAUUCUAACAGUAAAUAAAGUAGAUUAAGCCAAUUAGUAACAAUACAAUAAGGCCACGACAGGAAAAUGAUCUUGAACUCUGCAAAGAAGAGUUACCUGGCAUCAACAGCAGCUUCAAGGAACUUCUGUAUUUCCUCAAGAUCAUUUGAUGUUACUGCUGUAGCAAAUUGAAAAAAGCCAGGUUCUUCCUCAAAUGACUCGUAAAGAUGCUGCAUAAAACCAGUCAUAAAGAGUAAAGGAAAAUAACAUGACUACUAAAAGGUCGACAAUCAGCAUUAAAGAUAAUAGCCUGAGACAUGUUUACUGAGCAAGCACUGUCAUUUGGAUUCUUUUUAGUUUAUUUCAUCGUGGGAAAAGGAGAGGAGAGUCACAAGACGUUCUUUAUGCGAUACUCAAAACAUUUUGGUCAAACCAUUUUAGUAAUUUGACUUUAAAUAAAAAAUCCAAGAGUCUUUUUACCCAACGCUAAAAGCAGAUAAAGAUAUUAACAUCAUUGAACAAAAAUUAGCAUACCUGCCUUCGACUGUCAAGCUGUGCUUGUAGAAGAGGUUGGCCAUUGAUAUACAAGAUAUCAAAAGCAUAUAUGCAAACACCAACCUUUAUUUCACUCAAGACCACAUUUUUACGAGCCCGUGUGCUGAGGACCUGCCACCAAUUCAAUACUUUUAAGUCUGAAUUUGUAAUACCAUUCUUACAACUCUAGUCAUAUUAGUAGCCCAAUUAGUAAUGAAUCUACCCUUAGUCAUAUUCAUCAAAAUUUCACCACCUUCAAAUAUUUUAGAGCAGACACUGGACAGAUCAAAUUGGCCGAAACUUUAAUACCUCAACAGUCAAAAAUCUCCAGUUCCUAUCAAAGAAAAUCAAGAAUUUUAUGACAUCAACUGACUCAAAUGAAGCACCUGAAAUAGAUGCAAGAAAGAACUUGCACGUGUAGUUUUAAGAUAUCCCAUAGGGGGACUGAAGGUGUUGGGAAGCAUUUCAUGGGCCAGGCCCCAGGCAUGCCCCAUUUAAGUUCAUGAUGAGAUAGCCCAUAACAGAUAGCCCUAGGAUUUUGAGCAUGCUCAAUACCAAGAUGAUUCUUACAGCACCCAAAGUUGACGAGUUCACAAACGAAAAACAAAGAUGACUCGACCACUUUCUUCCCAAUACAGGAUUGAAGGAGAUUUGUUACUUUGCCAAUUUAAUACUUCAGCAUUGAUUGUACAUAAAUUAUUAACAUUGUAUAUGUUGUUGUCAUAUGCCACAACAAAGAUCAUGAAGGCUACACAAUAAGCAAUGCUAGAGCCAGAAUGGGAGACUUAAAUCAGUUAGCAAUCGAUUUUUCUAUUUAACUUCAAUUGUUCUGAUGUGCUAGCAUAGUUAAAAGGACCACUUCAGCAGGCCCAUGACAAAAUCAGAUUUACAAAGAUCUUGCACUUAGGCAAGCUCAAUAUUACAGAAGUAAACAGUUCACCUGGAAGGGGAGAAUUUUUUUCUUCUCACGAUCAAAUGCAACAAUUUCACAAUCAAGAACAAAUGAGGUUACAGACGGCCUUUUAAACCUGCAAUAAAACAGCUAAAUGUCAGGAAAAUUGAGAGAGAUUUUCUGGCAGACUUGUAAUGUUAGUAGGGAACAACUAGUCAUUCUUAAAAAUAAGCUCUACUGAUAUACUCUCAUACCCAACUAUGUAAAUUAUGUUUCUGCUCAUUAAGAAAGCAAUAGACUACAAAAACCCAUCAUGAGAAGGCCCACCACAGCAGUGAAAGUACAGUGCUAAGCUCAGACAGCCUUACUCAACCAAGUAAAGAGACUCUUCCUGUUCAUCAAACCAUUAACCAGCUUGUGACAGCAUGUUCCAAAUCAAAGUUUGAGUGGGCUACAAUAAAAGUACCUUGAAAUUGCAUCCACAACAUCAGGAUACUUUCCAGUGUUUCUUUCUGCAUUUCGACUAUAUAUCUCCACUGUACCAUCCUCCAUGUAGUGAAUCUGCAGGACAUGGUUAGACAAACACACAUCAUCAAGACUGUGAAAGGAAAGGCAUAUAACAUAGGCGUCAUGUCUAGUUUCUUGCUACCUGAGCACGUUCUCCAUCGUACUUGUAUUCACAGGUGAAUUCAAUAUCCUGAAACUUAUCCAAUAUUUCAGAAACUCCCUUAGUUGGUUUUGCUAGCAUAGGUCCAACAGGAACACCAGGUGAAAAGCUACAUGUCUUGGGAAGAUCCCAUACACCAUCAGCAAGAAGAGCAGAGAUUAUUUUAUCAUAGACUGGAAUUACCGAGUAAACUUGUUUCACGAUUUUAGCAGCCUGAGGGAAGGAAGGCAAUUUCACAACAUGUUUAUGCAAUAAACAAAAAACUCUCUUAAAUUUGCACAUAGUAUUAGCAUAAUAAUAAAAUCUAAUUAAAAAAUUUAUUCAAACUCUCUCAGAAGCUUAAAUUCAUGCCAAGAUACCUCUUCUAAAGAAGAAUCUAUAUUUGCAGGAGUUGAAGAUUGCUUAUCAGCAUAAACUGCAGCAUGGCCCAAAGCAGCUAACAGAGUUUGCUCAGCUAAACCAAUGCGCAGUUUAGCCUGCAUGUAGAGUUCAAGAAUAAUUUUCAGGGAUUAAAGGUGCCAAUUUGUGAUAUUAGAUCUUCAAUUGUCUCACCUGGAGCAGACGAAUCAAGUACUGAGGUUCACAAUCUGUAGCAGCAACCAGUAGUGCCUUGAUAUGAUUCUUUUUCUUCUCUUGACUAUCCUUACCAGAUUCCUAACGCAAAUCACGUAGAGAUACAGUUACAAAACUAAAAGAAGUAAACCGUUGUUAUGCUCUUCUCUAGAUCAAUAAAUUAUAAGUUAAUAAACAAGCACCAAUUCAUGUGCAUAUCUCGGCUGAUUACCCAUCAUCCCAAAAAAAAAAAGCCUCUCUCUCUCCCCCCUGAUGUUCAACUUUUCUCACCCGUCUCUCUCUCUUCCGUUUCCUCUGUAAUCUUUAUCUUAUUCUCUCUCUCUCUCUACCUAUGCUUCUCUUGCCCCCCUCGCAACUUUCACUUUUACCUCCUAACCCAUCCUCUCCUCUACCGGUCAGCCCUCCCUUCAACAUGCAAUGACCAUGGAAGCCAAGCUAGAGAUAGAUAAUUGAGGAUUUUUUUUGUUGGUCUCAUGGUAGAUCAGCCUUUCCUACAUAUUAAUAGUGUUGUGGGGAUGUUGUUGGGAAUUCAUGAUGGAUCAAAGUUUUGAUUAACAGUUUGUGGUGAUUUUGGUGGUUUUGCAGAUAUAUGAAAUUUUGAAAAAAUAGUGUGCUGUCAUUUGAAAUUGGUGGGGAUUAGUGGGAUGAUUCAAAGAGUUGAAAACAUUUCUAGUUUGGCAAGAAUGGAUGUGAUGUUAGCGGCUGCUUUUGUUGUUUGUUGUUGGCUGAGUUUUUUUUUUUUAAUUUCGUUGUUGGCUGAGUUCGGUGGCGGUCUAGUUGCAGUCAUACAGAGUCCAUUUGGGAAGAAAGAUAACAAAGUUGGCAAAAGAGGAAAGAUAACAAAGUUGGCAAAAGAGGGCAAAGAAUUAGCUAGACAUACUAAAAAAAAAAUUCACUGGAUUCCUAUUUCACCACAACAAACCAAACAUACGAAAAGAAGUUGCUAAAACCCAUUACGAUUGAGGACCCUUGAUACUCAUUGCUAUUGCCAUUCCAGAAUACCAACCAAACAGGUAGUUAGUGUACUCUAGCUCCAAAACAUUUCAAAAAAUAGAUUUCAAGUUUCAUGUAUGGAAACCAAUAAAGGCAGCUAUGAAUAUCUUAAGGAAUAAGGCAAUCCAGUUUAACUCUCCUCUACAGCGAAUAAGAUCAAAGCUCAUCAUCGAAGUCCAUGAAAUAGGAAAAUUCCCAGGCACCUUAGCAAUAAGGCGAAAUGUAUCAAAAACUUUAACAACAAUUAGUGCUUCUGGUUUGCGCAUUAAAGACUGAGACGAACGGCUUGCUUUUGCAACAAGGCCUAGAUCACCAAGCUCCUGAGGCAAGUCGGAUAGUGAAGUAAUCAUUCAAAAUCAAAAAGAAGAAAGAAAUUGCGGGCAAAAACUUGCAGGAUUUUGAUAUGUCAGGAGAUUCCUGCACACAAAUUAUUAAGCAAAUAUAACUAGACUACACCAUUCGCAAGCUUUGAAUGAAAUUCUGCUCCUCUAACUACAAAAUUUCUUAAAACAAGUGCAGUGUACUCAUUGCAGAAAGAUCAGCCAGAGCCUUCCAUUAAAUCAAGCAACUAGAGUCACAGAAGUCAAGUAAAUCAUAAAGAGAAUAAAUGAUAAAUUUUUUUUUGCAAAUUGUAUCUUAGAUCAAUUAAAAAAAAAUUUUCCAGACAAGCUACUGCGUACAAAAUGUAACAACAACCAACGUACAGCUGCAGCCAAAGAAAGUAACAAGGUAAAACUAAAGCAGCUUCUCAAAUAAUGCAGUUACUUCGUAGAACCAAAAUCGAGCCCAAAACUAAAAUCACAGGCAAAGGGUCGAAUGUUUUUGACAUCAACAUAGCACCAAAGCUAAAUUCAAAAUAUUCAAUUAAAUGUGGCAUUUGACUGGACAAGCUUUUUUUCUAAUCCCAUUCUUGAUAAUUUGUAUAAGAACAAUAGUGCUUGUACAGAGUUAGUAGAUACCUUGCAAACCGAAUCAGACAACACAAUAAUCACCAUAGCAGCAUUCUACAGCAUUGAAGCCACAGCUAGGCAGAGACCUAAAUACAGCAUGGGACUUAUGUUUCUUUCUCCUCCCCUAUUCUCCAUCUCAUUUGUUAAUGUUUUGCAAUUAAUGAAACAAGGCCAAAAAUCUCUAGAAUUUCAUUUACUAGAACUGAGAACAAGUUACCCGCGAUCAUUCUGUCAUUUCACUUGAAGUACAAUUUCUUUAAUUUCUUGGCAUCGAGUUAAGAAAAGCCAACUCCACAAACAAUAAUAUUCAGAGAUAAGAAAAGAAAUUCAAUCAGUUCUAAACCACACCCAAGAUUUGAUAAACACGAGUGACUGGAAUGUAGUAGAGUUUCACCUUGUACUGCUUCUUAAUUUGUGCUUCUUUUGUUCCGCACGCCUCGUACAGAGCCUUAAUAAUCGAAGCAUCCCCAAUCCCAAGCUCCAAUCCUUCAUGAGCUGGAGCAAUCCGGUUCGCCAAAAGGUAAACAACAGCCACCAAAUCCUCUGGCGUCGUUUCCAUCACAGUCCUCAACAUGUUACAAACAAUUGCAGUUAUCGCAAUCCGCCCUGAUUCUUUAGAAAUAGCAUCCAACGCCUUCGCUACAAACAUAAACGGCACCCUUUGUGCCUUUCCCCAAUAUGCCGCCUUCUUGGGAUCAAAACUUGCCGCCUUAUCCUUCAACUCAAGAAGGCUCGCAUCAGGAGUAAUUGCCACCUUAGGUUUCUUAACCACCGCUUCCUCACUUUUCCCCAGCUGGGUUUCUUAAACACCGCUUCCUCACUUUUCCCCAGUAAUUGCCACCUUCGUCAUUUUUCAUAUUUUUUUCCAGCUGGGUUUCUUUAAUUUGAGCUGAAUCAGGUUCUUUGACUGAAAUCGGAGUAGAAUUUUGAGAAGUGAUGAUGGGGGUGGGGGUUUUGCGUUUCUUGGGAGAUGGUUUUUGUUGUUUCUGCACGGACUUUUUCUUGCUGGCAUUGGACAUGAGGAGGUCGAAGGCAGAAGGGUGAGAAGCCAUUGCUGCUAGUGAUCCUGGAUUAACUAAUGGAAUCGAGAGAAAGAGGGAUCUCUGAGAGAAGUGUUUUGCGGGGAAGGAAGAAUAGAUGAGAAAGUAGGGCUUAAAACCGAGUGGUUUUCUGAGGGGAUGAAGCGAAAGAGUGUGGUGGGUAAAGUGGAGUGAAGAAGAGCAUGACCUGAAUGCGGUGAGCAUCAGCUGCCGUUUUUCUGCUACGGAGAGGGAGACAACUGACACGGGUUGCUGUUGCGGAUGCGGAUGGCUAGGAGGAAAGAGGAAGGCAAAUGGCGGGAAAGGAAAUUGAGGGUUUUGUGAACUUAGGAUUGAAAAUUGCCAGAAAAGCCUUUGGAAAAAAAUUGCUGGGGAAGCCUUUUUUGGUGUUUGGGUGAUGAGUUGUUAGCAAAAUCUUGAGAGAGGGACUAAAAUUUUCAUUUCGUAAGCUAGCAAUAGGUGACUUGAAAUUUGUGAUUUGAAGGUUUGAGGUGUACCCCCCAAAAAAAUAAUAACAAAGUCGUAAGCUAGCAAUAUGCAGACUAGUGAGUUAGUGGUAUAUUAGUGGUUUAUUAUACGUUUUCUUUCACUAUGUUCACACUCUGAAGUCUGAAUUAUUCCAACCCAAUUGAUGAAAAAUGUUUUAAAAAUAUUUAGGACAAAUGCAAUAUCCACAUAGUUUAUUUUUGUGAUAUGUCGCAUCGUGGAGUGGAAACGGCAUGCAUAUAUGCUUGGGCUCGUGAGUUAUCAAGUAAUUUAGAUUAAUCAUAUUUUGUACCAUAAUUUGGCUCAAAAGUUAAUUAGGCCAACCCGUGGAUCAAAAGCGUUACAAUUUUGACUUAUUUUAUUGAUUCAAGUUUGUUCAAAAACUUUUUUUGGUAAAAAAUUUAUGCGACAUGGAAACAUAAUUUGGUGAAUUCACAAAACCAUGUAUAUUGCACAUGCCAAAAUCAGCUCGAAAGUGGAUUGUCCAACCCAAUUGUAAUGAUACAAGUUUUAAAAGAUUAGCAAAGAUGCAUAUGAAGGUAAAAAAAGGUGAUUAGCAAAUGUGUUUACGAAAAAAAAAAUUUUAAAAGAAAACAGUUUUCCAAAAUUUUAACUCUUGCACCCAUUCCUACACUUUUCUACUCCCAACUGUCAAGUUCAGAAUUCGAACUUUGAACUCGACGACGUUGGUCAUUGGACCAAUCCCAAUGCUUAAUUUUACCAAACUUGCAAAACAAGAAAUAAGAAAUAAAGACCGACCAAAACGUCUAUAAGUAUACUGAUCACAACAAAUAAUAUAAAAUCUGUUUUGACUCGCCAAACUUAGGUUAUUUGCAUGAGUUUCUUCAUUGUUUUUUAAUUUUAAUAAUAAUUGAUAUCCCUCUUCUGAAGGUCUCUCCACAGUCUCCACACACGGGGUUGAUGGAACAGUUUUUGAAUGAGAGCCAUUCAAGUCAUGUUGUUGAUUGGAGUUCCAGAAAAAAAAAACUCCAAAUUCCGUCUGCAACUGGCUGGGGCGGUACGCUGGUACGGAACAAAAAAUCUAUAAUAAGAUAAACAAUGGAAUGUAGUUGUAAUGAUGAACCCCUACCUAAACCUAAAUAAACGGAAUAAUUAAUACACCACCAAAUCAAUAAUUGUAUCAUAUUCUACAUGUUCUUUCCUUCUCGAACUAGCUUGCAACUGGUUUUGAUACGUCAGGUUUCUUUACAGGGACUAGACUACAACUACUUGUAUGGACGAAGAAACUCCAAGUUCCUAAGUCCACGAAUUUCGGAUCCCACCAGUGAUUUUUGUGUUGUUGGUCAUGAUUAGUUUCUUCUUAUCUUCUCUCCAGUGCAGGACGGUUGGUCAACUGAACAUGCAAGUUGAUAAUUGCUCAAUUCUUCAAUGAUAAUAAUGUUGAUGAAAAACUCACAAAUUAUGCAGAACGAUCUGCAGCAGAAGGGCCUGCAUUGAUUGCUUAUAAUGAGAAUCCACUUCACUUGGGCAGAAAGCUAGGGGGUGAGCAUGAGAAAUGGCAGCUACCUAUUUGGAUUGCAUUUUUCGUCAUUUUUCAUCGAAAAAUUACUGUAGCGAUUUGAUGUACGUAAGGAAAAAAGAUAAUAGAAAAAUGUGUUCACGAAAAACGACGCAAUUUUCUGAUAAAAAAUGGCAAUCCAAACACACUGGCUUCAACUACUUGGUCCACUAAUAUUGCUGCUGCAUAUGGAGGUUGAGAAACAGGGAUGGUGUUGGUUUGUGGGUCCCCCUUAGACUGACUUUAGGGUCCGUUCUUUCGUUGACUCAUGAGUGUUUCUAAUCUAACUGUGUGUGUUCUUCUUCUGUCUAUAGAAAAAAGAAAGUGUAGUAAACUUUUUUCAUUCUUAUUUCUCCCUCCGUCCCACUUUGAUAGUCUUAUUUUUUUUCACACAAUUUAAGGAAAAAUAGUUAAUUUUGUUGAAAAAAUAAAUUUAGAUUGCCAUUUUUCUAACAUAUCCUUACAUUAAAUAUGGUACAACUUUAUGGGAACUUAGAAUUGAUGGUAAAAAAAGAAUAAACUCUCAUUAAAUGGAGUAGAUUUAUAGUAACAACUACUUACAUUGAAUAAGGGUAUAUUAGAAAAAUUAAAAUACAACUACAUUCUUCAAUUGAAAAGUGGACUACAAUUUGGGAUAGAUGAAAAAGGAAUACAGGACUAUCAAAGUGGGACGGAGGGAAUAUGAUACUUUUAUUAUAGUUCAUAAGCCCAAAAAAAAAAGAAAGAAAGUGUAGUAACAUUUGAUUCGUAGUCAUUAUAUAUAUUAUUAAAAUGCAUGCAUAUACAUUUAUAAUAUUUUUUUAAUUUAAUUUCACGCUUUCAAAAAAAGUACUACUGUAUGAAAUCUAUUUUGGCAGUGUCCACUAGAUAGCAUUAGACAAUUAAGACAUAAUAGGGAUUGCAAUAAUGUUUUUCAAAAAAAAAAUUCCAAUCAGUAACCGACACACUACUCAUUUUCCAAAAUCAGCUCUUGUAAUUCCACUUUCACCUGCAGUUCACGGGCUUCCCAUAGAAAAUCCAUCCUAAUUUAAACUGUGCAGUUUUUGCGGGGAGACCAUCCAUCUCCAUCUGGUAGGUCAAGACUUGUAUAGGAUUUAGGCUACUGAUUGAUGAGUCAACAAAAAAAAAAUAAAAAAACAAAAAGAAAGAAUCUUUACCCCUGAAGUUUAAACAAACAAAACAUUAAAUUAUUGUAGACAUGACCUCGUGGAAAUCUGCUCUUAUUAAAAUGUUUUGAAAUUAACCAAGCAGACAAAAGAAGAUUUGGCAUUCCAAGAAAUACAAAAUUAGUGUCAGUUAAUAAGGGUUAAUUUGGUUUCUUUCUCAUGUUUGGUGUCCCUCUUCAUGUUGCUUCGAUUUGGUCGCAUAAAUUACAAAGGAGAGUGACAAAACAAUUGACCAAAAGAGAACAGAACAGAAUGGAACAUUUGCAAUGUUGUCAUGGAGUUCGAUCUGACAAGAUGUGGAGUAGAUCACUCUAUAUUUUAUCGGCAUUCUAAUGCUAGUAAAAUUUUAUUAGUUGUUUAUGUGAAAAAUAUUGUGAUUACAAGUGAUGAUGUUGUGAGGAUCCAGAAACUUAAAUCCAAUCUGCAGGCAAACUUUCAGACAAAAGAUUUAGGUCAUCUACAGUAUUUUUUGUGUAUUGAGGUAGCUCGGUCUAAAUAUGGGAUUUAUUUAUGUCAAAGGAAAUAUGUACUCAAUAUGUUGAGUGAAGUUGGGAUGUUAGGUUGCCGACCUGUGGAUACUCCUAUGGAUCCCAAUGUGAAAUUAGUAGGAGAUCAAGGUGCAUUACUUGAUGAUCCUAAGCAAUAUCGAAGACUUGUGGGUAAAUUAAAUUAUCUCACUGUAACGAGAUCUGACAUUUCAUUUGCAGUGUGUGUUGUGACUCAAUUUCUUGAUGCCCCUCGUACUAGUAAUUGGGAUGCUGUUAUACGAAUUUCCAAGUAUCUUAAGAGUGCUUCUGAGAAAGGGUUGCUGUAUCAAAAUCAUGGACAUACUGAUAUUGAAGGAUAUAGUGAUGCAGAUUGGACUGGUUCUGCCUCAGAUCGAAAAUCGACCAAAGGAUAUUGUGUGUUUGUUGGUGGUAAUUUAGUGUCGUGCAAGAGUAAGAAGCAAACAAUUGUCUCCAGAUCAAGUGUAGAAUCUGAAUGACUCACUGUAUGUGAGUUGGUUUGGUUGAAGAGCAUGUUACUUGAAAUUGAGUUUGAGCAUAAACAGUGAUGCGAACUCGACCCAAUAAGAACCUGUCAUGAAGAACCGAAUCGAUCAGGCAGCGGAAGGAUCUAUCUUGAUCAGGUUAUGGAACAAUAACUACCUUGCUAGAUCUAAAGAGAACCUGUCUCUAGAAACCUAGUGGAUUGGUUAUUGGCUUGAAAGAAUAAGAUGAAGUGAUCAUCUUGCCUUGAACACCACAAGUAUCCAAGCUAAAUACUUGAUACUGUUCAAGAAGAAACUCAAGUUCCAUCAAGGAACUCCAUAAAAGGAGACAACUCUCUUUUUAUUAAUUCAUCUUCAAUCUGCUCUCCCAAUAGUUAAAUAAAGUUGGCUAUUUAUAGCCUUACAAGACUCAAAACCAUAAUCUAUAUUGGAAACAAUACAAGUUUUUUUAUUUGACUCGACUUCUAAACUUGACACAAUUUCCUAAACAAAUUUGGAAGCAAUUAACUGUUUUCCUAAAACUCUAAUUCAACUAGAAUAGGAAACUAGCUAAUUCAAAUUGGCUUAACUAUGGUCAACAUGACCUUAGCCUUUAUUCCCUAAUUCAAGCAACUUACUUAACUCUCAAUUUGGAAAUCAAUCAAGAUACCAAUCAAGAUUAGGAAGCCAAUUAAAAUUUGGAACAUUUGGAUCUUCAAUGAUUCUCGAGCCUGAUUGCACCAUCAACCAUCAUUAGAAUGUGAAGACUUGUAAAAUGAAAGGAAUCCAUGCAAAUCUUCAUGUUCUCAAAAAACAGCUUAUAAAUCUAGUGUGUGAUAAUCAGGCAGCUGUCCAUAUUGCGUCUAAUCCAGUGUUUCAUGAAAGGACAAAACAUAUUUAAGUUAAUUGUUACUUCAUUCGAGAAAAAUUGCUUGACGGAGUCAUCAAGACAUCUCAUGUACCGUCUGUAGAUCAAUUGGCUGAUUUGUUUACCAAGAAUUUAGGGGGCUCUAGGGUGAAAUACAUUUAUGAUAUAUAUGCUCCAACUUGAGGGGGAGUGCUAGGAGAAUAUCAAUAUUUUUGUAGAUAAUAUUAGUAAGGGUAUUCUUGUAAAUAGUUGGUUAGAUUUGUACUCCUAUAAAUACUAGUUGGUCACUCAUAAUACAGUGACUAGAUGUUUUCCUCCCAAGAUACCUGCUGACAGACUUAAAAAAAUCCAAGAGUCUUUUGCACAAUGCUAAAAGCAGAUAAAGAUAUAAACAUCAUUGAACAAAAAUUAGCAUACCUGUCCUCGACUGUCAAGCUGUGCUUGUAGAAGAGGUUGGCCAUUGAUAUACAAGAUAUCAAAAGCAUAUAUGCAAACACCAACCUUUAUUUCACUCAAGACCACAUUUUUACGAGCCCGUGUGCUGAGGACCUGCCACCAAUUCAUACUUUUAAGUCUGAAUUUGUAAUACCAUUCUUACAACUCUAGCAUUUCAUCAAGUAACAAUUCAUGUGUGACACUCUUUCCAGCAAAAUGAAAAGCUGAACACCAGAAGAAGCUGGCUCCUUAAUGACAAGAAAUAUACUUUGAAGCAUAAAGUGUAGAGACAACAUAUGUUUAGGAAACCUAAGUGUGUCCCCUUUAUCCUCCUGGUGGGUGGUAGGGACAUGGUCAGUGGAAAAGAAUAGCCUGAUAUAUAUAAAUCAGUAAAAUUUGUGGACGUGUUACAAGAUUAAGGCAAGGCCCCUGAUGGAGACUAAUGAUGGUCUAUUUGCCAAAGCAUGACUUGAAUUACCUAAAAGAAACUAAAAAAAGUGCUUAUACAAAAGCAUCAAAUCAAAUACAAUAUAUUCCAAAUUCAAUUUUCAAGUUGUUUGGCCUAACAUCCAUGUAGCAUCAUCACCCCCUCAAAGUGUAAAUUCCUCAUUUGAUCAACAAAAAGUAGCCCAAUUAGUAAUGAAUCUACCCUUAGUCAUAUUCAUCAAAAUUUCACAACCUUCAAAUAUUUUAGAGCAGACACUGGACAGAUCAAAUUGGCCGAAACUUUAAUACCUCAACACUCAAAAAUCUCCAGUUCCUAUCAUAGAAAAUCAAGAAUUAUAUGACAUCAACUGACUCAAAUGAAGCACCUGAAAUAGAUGCAAGAAAGAAGUUGCACGUGUAGUUUCAAGAUAUCCCAUAGGGGGACUGAAGGUGUCGGGAAGCAUUUCAUGUGACAGACCCCAGGCAUGCCCUAUUUAAGUUCAUGAUGAGAUAGCCCAUAAUAGAUAGCCCUAGGAUUUUGAGCAUGCUCAAUACCAAGAUGAUUCUUACAGCACCCAAAGUUGAUGAGUUCACAAACGAAAAACAAAGAUGACUCGACCACUUUCUUCCCAAUACAGGAUUGAAGGAGAUUUGUUACUUUGCCAAUUUAAUACUUCAGCAUUGAUUGUACAUAAAUUAUUAACAUUGUAUAUGUUGUUGUCAUAUGCCACAAUAAAGAUCAUGAAGGCUACACAAUAAGCAAUGCUAGAGCCAGAAUUGGAGACUUAAAUCAGUUAGCAAUCGAUUUUUCUAUUUAACUUCAAUUGUUCUGAUGUGCUAGCAUAGUUAAAAGGACCACUUCAGCAGGCCCAUGACAAAAUCAGAUUUACAAAGAUCUUGCACUUAGGCAAGCUCAAUAUUACAGAAGUAAACAGUUCACCUGGAAGGGGAGAAUUUUUUUCUUCUCACGAUCAAAUGCAACAAUUUCACAAUCAAGAACAAAUGAGGUUACAGACAGCCUUUUAAACCUGCAAUAAAACAGCUAAAUGUCAGGAAAAUUGAGAGAGAUUUUCUGGCAGACUUGUAAUGUUAGUAGGAAACAACUAGUCAUUCUUAAAAAUAAGCUCUACUGAUAUACUCUCAUACCCAACUAUGUAAAUUAUGUUUCUGCUCAUUAAGAAAGCAAUAGACUACAAAAACCCAUCAUGAGAAGGCCCACCACAGCAGUGAAAGUAUAGUGCUAAGCUCAGACAGCCUUACUCAACCAAGUAAAGAGACUCUUCCUGUUCAUCAAACCAUUAACCAGCUUGUGACGGCAUGUUCCAAAUCAAAGUUGGAAUGGGCUACAAUAAAAGUACCUUGAAAUUGCAUCCACAACAUCAGGAUACUUUCCAGUGUUUCUUUCUGCAUUUCGACUAUAUAUCUCCACUGUACCAUCCUCCAUGUAGUGAAUCUGCAGGACAUGGUUAGACAAACACACAUCACCAAGACUGUGAAAGGAAAGGCAUAUAACAUAGGCGUCAUGUCUAGUUUCUUGCUACCUGAGCACGUUCUCCAUCAUACUUGUAUUCACAGGUGAAUUUAAUAUCCUGAAACUUAUCCAAUAUUUCAGAAACUCCCUUAGUUGGUUUUGCUAGCAUAGGUCCAACAGGAACACCAGGUGAAAAGCUACAUGUCUUGGGAAGAUCCCAUACACCAUCAGCAAGAAGAGCAGGGAUUAUUUUAUCAUAGACUGGAAUUACCGAGUAAACUUGUUUCACGAUUUUAGCAGCCUGAGGGAUGGAAAGCAAUUUCACAACAUGUUUAUGCAAUAAACAAAAAACUCUCUUAAAUUUGCACAUAGUAUUAGCACAAUAAUAAAAUCUAAUUAAAAAAUUUAUUCAAACUCUCUCAGAAGUUUAAAUUCAUGCCAAGAUACCUCUUCUAAAGAAGAAUCUAUAUUUGCAGGAGUUGAAGAUUGCUUAUCAACAUAAACUGCAGCAUGGCCCAAAGCAGCUAACAGAGUUUGCUCAGCUAAACCAAUGCGCAGUUUAGCCAGCAUGUAGAGUUCAAGAAUAAUUUUCCGAUUAAAGGUGCCAAUUUGUGAUAUUAGAUCUUCAAUUGUCUCACCUGGAGCAGACGAAUCAAGUACUGAGGUUCACAAUCAGUAGCAGCAACCAGUAGUGCCUUGAUAUGAUUCUUUUUCUUCUCUUGACUAUCCUUACCAGAUUCCUAAUGCAAAUCACGUAGAGAUACAGUUACAAAACUAAAAGAAGUAAACCGUUAUGCUCUUCUCUAGAUCAAUAAAUUAUAAGUUAAUAUACAAGCACCAAUUCAUGUGCAUAUCUCGGCUGAUUACCCAUCAUCCCAAAAAAAAAGCCUCUCUCUCUCCCCCCUGAUGUUCAACUUUUCUCACCCGUCUCUCUCUCUUCCGUUUCCUCUGUAAUCUUUAUCUUAUUCUCGCUCUCUCUCUCUCUCUCUACCUAUGCUUCUCUUGCCACCCUCGCAACUUUCACUUUUACCUCCUAACCCAUCCUCUCCUCUACCGGUCAGCCCUCCCUUCAACAUGCAAUGACCAUGGAAGCCAAGCUAGAGAUAGAUAAUUGAGGUUUUUUUUUUAUUGGUCUCAUAGUAGAUCAGCCUUUCCUACAUGUUAACAGUGUUGUGGGGGUGUUGUUGGGAAUUCAUGAUGGAUCAAAGUUUUGAUUAACAGUUUGUGGUGAUUUUGGCGGUUUUGCAGAUAUAUGAAAUUUUGAAAAAAUAGUGUGUUGUCAUUUGAAAUUGGUGGGGAUUAGUGGGAUGAUUCAAAGAGUUGAAAACAUUUCUAGUUUGGCAAGAAUGGAUGUGAUGUUAGCAGCUGCUUUUGUUGUUUGUUGUUGGCUGAGUUUUUUUUUUUUCAAUUUCGUUGUUGGCUGAGUUCGGUGGCGGUCUAGUUGCAGUCAUACAGAGUCCAUUUGGGAAGAAAGAUAACAAAGUUGGCAAAAGGGGGCAAAGAAUUAGCUAGACAUACUAAAAAAAAAUUCAGUGGAUUCCUAUUUCACCACAACAAACCAAACAUACGAAAAGAAGUUGCUAAAACCCAUUACGAUUGAGGACCUUUGAUACUCAUUGCUACUGCCAUUCCAGAAUACCAACCAAACAGGUAGUUAGUGUACUCUAGCUCUAAAACAUUUCAAAAAAUAGAUUUCAAGUUUCAUGUAUCGAAACCAAUAAAGGCAGCUAUGAAUAUCUUAAGGAAUAAGGCAAUCCAGUUUAACUCUCAUCUACAGCGAAUAAGAUCAAAGCUCAUCAUCGAAGUCCAUGAAAUGGGAAAAUUCCAAGGUACCUUAGCAAUAAGGCGAAAUGUAUCAAAAACUUUAACAACAGUUAGUGCUUCUGGUUUGCGCAUUAAAGACUGAGACGAACGGCUUGCUUUUGCAACAAGGCCUAGAUCACCAAGCUCCUGAGGCAAGUCGGAUAGUGAAGUAAUCAUUCAAAAUCAAAAAGAAGAAAGAAAUUGCGGGCAAAAACUUGCAGGAUUUUGAUAUGUCAGGAGAUUCCUGCACACAAAUUAUUAAGCAAAUAUAACUAGACUACACCAUUCGCAAGCUUUGAAUGAAAUUCUGCUCCUCUAACUACAAAAUUUCUUAAAACAAGUGCAGUGUACUCAUUGCAGAAAGAUCAGCCAGAGCCUUCCAUUAAAUCAAGCAACUAGAGUCACAGAAGUCAAGUAAAUCAUAAAGAGAAUAAAUGAUAAAUUUUUUUUUGCAAAUUGUAUCUUAGAUCAAUUAAAAAAAAAAAUUUCCAGACAAGCUACAACGUACAAAAUGUAACAACAACCAACGUACAGCUGCAGCCAAAGAAAGUAACAAGGUAAAACUAAAGCAGCUUCUCAAAUAAUGCAGUUACUUCGUAGAACCAAAAUCGAGCCCAAAACUAAAAUCACAGGCAAAGGGUCGAAUGUUUUUGACAUCAACAUAGCACCAAAGCUAAAUUCAAAAUAUUCAAUUAAAUGUGGCAUUUGACUGGACAAGCUUUUUUUCUAAUCCCAUUCUUGAUAAUUUGUAUAAGAACAAUAGUGCUUGUACUGAGUUAGUAGAUACCUUGCAAACCGAAUCAGACAACACAAUAAUCACCAUAGCAGCAUUCUACAGCAUUGAAGCCACAGCUAGGCAGAGACCUAAAUACAGCGUGGGACUUAUGUUUCUUUCUCCUCCCCUAUUCUCCAUCUCAUUUAUUAAUGUUUUGCAAUUAAUGAAACAAGGCCAAAAAUCUCUAGAAUUUCAUUUACUAGAACUGAGAACAAGUUACCAGCGAUCAUUCUGUCAUUUCACUUGAAGUACAAUUUCUUUAAUUUCUUGGCAUCGAGUUAAGAAAAGCCAACUCCACAAACAAUAAUAUUCAGAGAUAAGAAAAGAAAUUCAAUCAGUUCUAAACCACACCCAAGAUUUGAUAAACACGAGUGACUGGAAUGUAGUAGAGUUUCACCUUGUACUGCUUCUUAAUUUGUGCUUCUUUUGUUCCGCACGCCUCGGACAGAGCCUUAAUAAUCGAAGCAUCCCCAAUCCCAAGCUCCAAUCCUUCAUGAGCUGGAGCAAUCCGGUUCGCCAAAAGGUAAACAACAGCCACCAAAUCCUCUGGCGUCGUUUCCAUCACAGUCCUCAACAUGUUACAAACAAUUGCAGUUAUCGCAAUCCGCCCUGAUUCUUUAGAAAUAGCAUCCAACGCCUUUGCUACAAACAUAAACGGCACCCUUUGUCCCUUUCCCCAAUAUGCCGCCUUCUUGGGAUCAAAACUUGCCGCCUUAUCCUUCAACUCAAGAAGGCUCUCAUCAGGAGUAAUUGCCACCUUAGGUUUCUUAACCACCGCUUCCUCACUUUUCCCCAGCUGGGCAUCCUUAACCUUGCUCGAAUCGUCAUUUUUCAUAUCUUUUUCCAGCUGGGCUUCUUUAAUUUGAGCUGAAUCAGGUUCUUUGACUGAAAUCGGAGCAGAAUUUUGAGAAGUGAUGAUGGGGGUGGGGGUUUUGCGUUUCUUGGGAGAUGGUUUUUGUUGUUUCUGCUCGGACUUUUUCUUGCUGGCAUUGGACAUGAGGAGGUCGAAGGCAGAAGGGCGAGAAGCCAUUGCUGCUAGUGAUCCUGGAUUAACUAAUGGAAUCGAGAGAAAGAGGGAUCUCUGAGAGAAGGGUUUUGCGGGGAAGGAAGAAUAGAUGAGAA
This 41588-nucleotide long non-coding RNA is filed under the name Coffea arabica (coffee). RNAcentral's name for it is "long non-coding RNA (CARA_LNC007146)". Lineage: Eukaryota; Viridiplantae; Streptophyta; Magnoliopsida; Gentianales; Rubiaceae. The record is from RNAcentral.